GGCCCUGUGGUGAACUUUCACGUUGAAUUGCAAAUUCAGAGAAGCAGCUUCAAUUCUGCCGGGGCUU
This 67-nucleotide transfer RNA is filed under the name Macrauchenia sp. MW-2017. Its description in RNAcentral is "tRNA-Cys". It matches the Rfam family "tRNA". Rfam says of the family: Transfer RNA (tRNA) molecules are approximately 80 nucleotides in length. Their secondary structure includes four short double-helical elements and three loops (D, anti-codon, and T loops). The record is from RNAcentral. Lineage: Eukaryota; Metazoa; Chordata; Mammalia; Litopterna; Macraucheniidae.